CAAGAUUGUGAAAUAGCUUGGGACGCAACUCUCUCAAAGAUUUGGGCAAUUUGCAUUUUUUUCCUUGGUGUGGCAGUGAUAUCCACAACAACUAGUUUAUUUCUAUCUCAACAUAAGUGUAUCCAAAAACGUCUGCCUAAAACAAGUAUGGAGAGUGCCAAGGAUGUUACCAUACUACUAUCUACAUCAGUUCCCUUGAAACUCUGUGAUGGUACUUCUAGUGUGAACGACAACUCAUACAUGUAGGUUAUUGGUUCUCUAUAGUAUUUAUGUUUGACCCGUCUCGAUAUCAGUUAUGCAGUAAAACAAAUUAUCACAGUUCAUGCACAAACUGACUGCGACUCCUUGGGCUACAGUCAAGAGAUUGCUGAGGCAUCUGAAAAACACCAUCUUUCAUGGCCUUCAGAUCAGUUCUUCUGCUAAACCAGUGCUUCGAUCUUUCUCUGAUGCUAAUUGGGCAGGAAAUCUUGAUGACCG
Molecule: long non-coding RNA, 477 nt
Filed under: Olea europaea (common olive)
Lineage: Eukaryota; Viridiplantae; Streptophyta; Magnoliopsida; Lamiales; Oleaceae
Description: long non-coding RNA (OEUR_LNC008597)
Source: RNAcentral